Aedes aegypti (yellow fever mosquito) is the source of this 1014-nucleotide long non-coding RNA. RefSeq lists it as uncharacterized. The record is from RefSeq and is a predicted model, not a curated record. Lineage: Eukaryota; Metazoa; Arthropoda; Insecta; Diptera; Culicidae. The transcript has 2 exons.
GCUGAUGUCCCUCUUGACCCUCUUUUCCCCCAUAAUUUUUCAACACGUUUGUGGUGAAUUUUUGAUCAGCUGGCCAGCUGACUGUCAACUAUGACAGAUUUUUUUGUUUUUGUUUUCAUAUAAUUCAUUCAUAUCAAAAACAUCCUCCGUCGUCUUGAUUCUGGCCGUCAAGGUUCCAGCUCUUCCGGCUCCGUCCUGUUACCGGAACUGAAGAAAAGAUUGUGUCGGUAUUAGUAUUUCGUGUCGUAUAAAGUUCGCUGUAAAAAACUCUCGACCGUAGAAAAUUCUCAAAUAAAACAAGGAGGACCACAAACGUAGUCGGUGAGUGGAUUCCGAUCCCGUGGUCGUGUUGCUGAAAAAAGUGGAUUACAAGUCCUAUUUAAGACGACAAAUCUACUGUUAAGGAUAGCAGAAUGGAAUAUUGAUCGCAACAGCAAGGAAGACACGCCGAAGCUUAAACAGAAACGUUCGACGAUUUUCUGCAGAAUGAAGAGCCUCAACUCAAUUGUGGCUGCCCCGGAAAUAAGUACACCGCUAGUGGCACCUGCACAAUCAUCACCAGAGCCACAACUGCUAUCUACUAAAAUUGUGCUACAACGGCGAUAGUUUCGGCAUCCUGACAUUAAAAUCAAGGCUGGUUUAUCGGACGAGACUCCAGACAAUCGUCUCUUACCGCGAUGUUACCGGAGAUGGUGUAUAACGUAACCGAUACAGUCAUAAACUUCUCCGUGGCCAGCACGAAAACCACGAACAAGCUCAUCUGCAGCUGAGCAUCGUAUAAUUUGCUCGAUUUUUGAUUUCGAUGCAUUUCGGAGACGGAUGAUUUCCUUAGCAUCGGUUCUGUUCGAAGUAGAAAAGAUCCAGAAGAUGCAGAAGUCACAACGAAAGCAAACGCUGCUGAGACGUUAGCGGUAGUGGCCAGCUGUAUGUUUCCCAUAAAGGCGCAAUGAUAGCCUUCUUUUUCCGAACACAAAAUGCUUUACCUGAAAUAGACUAUUUUCGAGAAAAAAAAAA